Molecule: ribosomal RNA, 459 nt
Filed under: uncultured bacterium
Lineage: Bacteria
Description: SSU rRNA
Rfam family: Bacterial small subunit ribosomal RNA
Source: RNAcentral
AGAAUCAACGCUGGCGGCGUGCCUAACACAUGCAAGUCGAACGAGAAAGUGGAGCAAUCCAUGAGUAAAGUGGCGACCGGGUGAGUAACACGUGACUAACCUACCUUCGAGUGGGGGAUAACAUCGGGAAACCGAUGCUAAUACCGCAUAACAUCGCAAGAUCAAAGCAGCAAUGCGCUGGAAGAGGGGGUCGCGGCUGAUUAGCUAGUUGGCGGGGUAACGCCCACCAAGGCGAAGAUCGGUAGCCGGCCUGAGAGGGCGCACGGCCACACUGGAACUGAAACACGGUCCAGACUCCUACGGGAGGCAGCAGUGGGGAAUUUUGCGCAAUGGGGGAAACCCUGACGCAGCAACGCCGCGUGGAGGAUGAAGCCCCUUGGGGCGUAAACUCCUUUCGACCAAGACGAUAAUGACGGUACUGGUGGAAGAAGCACCGGCUAACUCUGUGCCAGCAGCCGC